GUUAAGAAAAGUCGAAACCCCUAUAGGUUAGGGAAAUGGCCGAAUGUGGGUAUAGGCUCUAUUGGGUUUUUCUUUUAAUUUUUUUUAUGGUUUGUUUAGUGGAGGAGCAGCAAGGCGUAGGGUCGACUUGGAUUAGUUUGGAUCAUCGGAGUGACUAGAUCUAGUCAUCAACUUCGGCAAAGGUAUGGAUUCUAAGGCCAUUGUGGAGGGUGGCCGAAUGUGUAAGUAUUGUUAAUAGAUGGUUCUCGUUUGGUUUAAUUGUUGUGAGCUGAUCUAUAAGCGGUUGAUUAUAGGAGGAAAUGUGUAGGAGAUUUCAUCAAGGAAUAUCGCAAAACAGGUGUGUAAUGAACCCUUUUUCAUAGCUUAAAACGAUAGAUGCUGAAAAGCCGAGAUGCCAAAAUUCUGGCAUUUCGAGGACGUGUGAGCAAGCGAACUCUUAUUGGUUAGUUAAAUUCGCUGGGUUGAUGAUCGAGAACGUUGGAAAAGGUAAGGGCAUGUUUUUUGGCACUCAUGGUAAGUUGGGCCUCGAGGGGUCAAAAUCGGGCCUAAUGGGCUUCCGGGCUCAUUUGAGCAAAUUAGGUAAAAAGUGAAAACCUAUUAAAGUACACGAAAAGACUGGUAACACCAUUAUGGAAAAUAGGCUAAAUGGGCCUAGAUGACUAAAUCAGCUAUGUAGGGCCUAUUAGGGAUUUUUUGGCCCAAUAACUCGGUAUCGCGAAAAAUGGGCCAAAAUUGCUGUUUAAAACAUAUGUGUAAUAGGCCCAUUUCGCCCGGGCCCAUUAUAAACAAAAAAAUAAUAAAUAUAAAAAAAAAGAACAUAAAUGGCCCAAAAUUAGUCAAAAUCCAAGUUCUUUUACAAAUAAUAAAAUAACCCAAUUAACCCAAAUAAAUCCCCAAACCCAAUAAAAAUAUAACACCCAAUUAGCCCAAAUAACCCACUACCCUAAGCCCAAAACACUAAUGAUUUUUUCAGCAAACCCUCAACACUAGAAACUUCAGCUGCCAGCCUCUAUGCUCCACAACAACUUCUCCACGCCGUGCACACCUGCAACGGAUUAACAACCACAGCGAUUAACAGCAAAGAAAUAACAGAGAAGAGGGAUGAUGAGAGUUUCAAUUUUUUUUUCUUUUUUUUUUGAUUUUUUGGGGGUUUUCGGUUAUAAAAGGCCAUUUGUAAACAAUGUAAGGGGAUUGAUUUUUUUCUUGGAUACAAAUACAAAAUACACAUCAAUAAGAAAAGAAAGGUGAUUUGAGAUUCAAAUCUUUUCUUCUUUUUUUUUUUAGAUCUGAUAUCUUAUCUAGAUUUUUUUUAGUUUUCUUUCUUCUCUUUGGCAUCAAAAAGAUAAAAAGAGGGUGUUGCUUACCUCCGACUUUUCAUUGCGACCCAUCUGCGCGUGGUCGAUCACCAAGUCCGAUGGUGGUGCGGCGGCAUCCAGUCCUUGCCCUUAGAUUGAGGCCGUAACUCUAGCAAAAAGGGAUAAAAUGAAAGGGGUUAUUAGUUGCUGGUAUAAAAGGGCAGAUUCCCAUUCAUUUUUCUUUGAUUUUGAUAAUAAAACAAAACUGCACUAUCUAAGGAAGGGGGAUUUGCGUUUUUGUGCUUCAAAUGGGAGAUUUCAGCAGAUAGUCCUCCCAUUUUGCGCAUUCUUUUUAAUUAAUCCUUAUUUGCAUUUUAUUUGUUUUAAAUUUCUCCUAGAAUUUGCGUGACACUUCAAUUUAGCCCGCACCUAAACUCUGUGCUGUGAGAUCUGGAAUAUUUUCAGUUCUGAUCCCUGUACGUUCGAGCGCAGCGUGCUUUAGUCUUUUACGAUUUCAAUGGUUUAAUUCAUUAAUUACCCCUUUUAAUUUAAUUUUAUUUUAACUGAGUUUUUUUAUUUUGUAUAAUUCAUAAUUAUUUUUUUAAAAAGAU
RNAcentral lists this long non-coding RNA (1906 nucleotides) under Gossypium barbadense (sea-island cotton). RNAcentral's name for it is "long non-coding RNA (GBAR_LNC010208)". The record is from RNAcentral. Lineage: Eukaryota; Viridiplantae; Streptophyta; Magnoliopsida; Malvales; Malvaceae.